This 301-nucleotide ribosomal RNA is filed under the name uncultured bacterium. RNAcentral describes it as "bacterial SSU rRNA". It matches the Rfam family "Bacterial small subunit ribosomal RNA", at positions 338 to 656 of the family's 1533-position model. The record is from RNAcentral.
CCUACGGGGGGCAGCAGUAGGGAAUUUUCCGCAAUGGGCGCAAGCCUGACGGAGCAACGCCGCGUGAGGGAUGAAGGUUUUCGGAUCGUAAACCUCUGUCUUCAGGGACGAUAAUGACGGUACCUGAGGAGGAAGCCACGGCUAACUACGUGCCAGCAGCCGCGGUAAUACGUAGGUGGCGAGCGUUGUCCGGAAUUACUGGGCGUAAAGGGCGUGUAGGCGGCCUUUUAAGUCAGAUGUGAAAUCUCAGGGCUUAACCCUGAAACUGCAUUUGAAACUGGAGGGCUUGAGGAUCGGAGAG